RNAcentral lists this ribosomal RNA (288 nucleotides) under uncultured Planctomycetota bacterium. RNAcentral describes it as "uncultured planctomycete partial 16S ribosomal RNA". It matches the Rfam family "Bacterial small subunit ribosomal RNA", at positions 64 to 364 of the family's 1533-position model. The record is from RNAcentral. Lineage: Bacteria; Pseudomonadati; Planctomycetota.
GCGCGAGAACUGAAGGAGCUUGCUCUUGAAGGGACAGCGGCGUAAGGGAGAAUAACAGGUAGAUACCUGCCCUCAGGUUUGGGAUAGCGUCGGGAAACUGGCAGUAAUACCAAAUAACAUCUCCGGAUCAAAGCUCCGGCGUCUGAGGAUGGAUCUGCUCACUAUUAGCUUGUUGGUGGGGUAAUGGCCUACCAAGGCAACGAUGGUUAGCGGGCGUGAGAGCGUGGCCCGCCUCACUGGGACUGAGACACUGCCCAGACACCUACGGGUGGCUGCAGUCGAGAAUCU